UAGCAUAUGCAGUUAGAUUAAAAUAUACUUUGUGCAUGAUAUUUGUAUAUAUACUAUUUAUUCCAUAUUGGAUUUUAGUAGUGAUUAUACAAUAGACAUGCACAAUUUAUAUAUAGCGAUAUAAGCAUAAAAAGACUUGAAGACCAUUUCGUUUAAACAAUUUAUUCAUAAUAAUCUGUUAACAUGGAUAUAAAAAGGAUUGGAGAAUUACUCCGUUAAUAUUGCUGAUUAAAUGGAUUGGGGUUCAAAUAAUAAUAAUCAUAACUGCUUUUAUUAUGAUUAUCUUGUAAUAUCUUAAUCAGUUAACUAAUUUGUUGCUUAGAAAACAAUUUAUAAAUCAUCGUGGAAUAGAACACAAAGAUGAGUUACUAUAUUAUAAAAAAAGAGAGGGGAUAUAUAAUAGUACUAUAAUGUUAUUUGGGAUCUGUAUUGCUUAACCUUAUUGAUUGUAUUAAAACCGAAAUGCUAAAAUGUUGAUGAAUAACUCAGACUGACAAUGUAUCGAUUAUAGUAUAAUUAUGAACUAGAAUUGAUAAAUCGAAAAUGUUAC
Non-coding RNA from Pelobates cultripes (western spadefoot toad), 550 nucleotides. Lineage: Eukaryota; Metazoa; Chordata; Amphibia; Anura; Pelobatidae. The record is from the annotation of a GenBank genome assembly.